RNAcentral lists this long non-coding RNA (2392 nucleotides) under Homo sapiens (human). RNAcentral's name for it is "HSALNT0028367". Lineage: Eukaryota; Metazoa; Chordata; Mammalia; Primates; Hominidae. The record is from RNAcentral.
GGACAGGAUCCAGGAGUACGGUUCACCCGUUUGUAGUGGUGUGGACGGCCUGUGCCAGGGACCAGGAAAGAUAGGGCUGGAGCUCCAAGGGGCACGGAGGGGCUGUGAGAGCCAGAAGGGGGCUGAGUCAGCCAAGCAGCACCACUGGCUCCACCACACAGAGCUUUUUCUUUGCAGUGAAGUCUGGGCCGCUCACUUUUUAGCCCCAGGCUGGGGAAGAUGACAUAGGUUCCCAGACGGUGAGCCUCACCCAGUGAAAUUUCUUUCUGGCUGCAGGGUACAUGCAGACCUGACCUUUUGGGUUUGCAGAUCUGUGUGGAAAGAUAACCUUCUCACAGGAGGCUUGCAAAGGAAAUCCCUGCAAAUGAGGACAGUUUUCCUUUUCAAGGAUCAAGGCUACCAGUUUGGUUAAAAAAUUCAGCCAUAUGCUGUUUCCAUGGGACACACCAAGAUCAUAAGAACAUGGAAAAUUUGAAAAUCAAAAAAUGGGAAAACAGAUCAGGCAAAUGGCAACCACAAGAAAGUUGACAUCAGAAAAAAAUAUUUUUAAUUUAUUAUUUAAAAAGAAAUUUUUUUGAGACAGGGUCUCACUUUUGUCACUCAGGCUGGAGUGCAGUGGUGUGAUCUCGGCUCACUCCAACCUCCAUCUCCUGGGCUCAAGCGAUCCUCCUGCUUCAACCCCGCAAGUAACUGGGACUACAGGCACACGCCAUCAUGCCUGGCUAAUUUUUGUAUUUUUUGUAGAGACAGGGUCUUGCCAUGUCACUCAGGCUGGUCUCGCACUCCUGAGCUCAAGCAAUCCUCCUGCCUUGGCCUUCCAAAGUGCUAAGAUUACUAGCACGAGCCUCCACACCCAGUCUAAAAUAGAUUUUUAAGACAAAAACAUUACCAGGGAUAAAGAGGAUAACAUAAUGGCAAAAGGUUCAAUUCACUGGGAAGAUGUAACAACUGCAAAGCCGUAUAGCAUCUGUUUAAAUAGCCUCAAAAUGAGAGACCUCCAGAGACUGACAGCAGCAAACAUAUUUCCACAAGGGCACCUCCCAACACUCCUGGGUUCCGUUAGCACAGAAUGAGUGCUAGUUCUUUGGCAACCCAAGAUUAAGCCCUGUGGCCGCAGUGAAAAGAAUCCCAGGAGAAAACUCAGAAAUAAAAUGGAAGAAGUAAGACUUCAGGUUGAAAUCACUAGAAACCCCCAGGAAGUAAAGGAGGAAAAUGAAACCGAGGAACCAGAAAAACUAUCCAACAAGUUCAUUAAUACUUGGAGUGACCAGGAGAUCCACAGUUUCCUAAAAGAAUCUCUUAAAUUUGAAGAAAUCUCUUGAAGAGUCGAGGAAGAAUCAUGAACAGUCUAAAGUGAUUGUCCAGCAUCUCAAGCAGACGGGUACACAGUGGAGCUGGCACGUGACAAGUUUGCAGGACUUUUACUGGACUACUCAUGAGGCCAACCUGAGGCCAAGGAGCCAGUGCCAGCCCUGUCCUGAUGGAGAGGCCCUACACGGGAUUCUGGGAUACAGAUGGAAGGAUGUCUUUUCAGUUCCUCCCUCUGCAGAUGCAAUUGUUCUUCCAACUGCCUAGUACCAGCCCGGGGCCUGUGCCAUCCCUGUUCACUUUGAGGUGCUGCUGUGGGCUCCCUCACCCACGAACUGCAUGUGGGAUCGUUGGGUGCCCAGAUAAGAACCCUGAAACAUGAGCCCCCCACGGUCAGCCCCAUGCUUGUUUCCUGACUUCUUCCCUGCAGCCUGCAGCCUGCAGCCUCUAGCAGCAUUGGCCACCCUCUUCUGAUUCUGAUCCAGAUUCUGAACUGAGAGACAAUUAGAAUCUGGAUCCCAAUUCCCUCUGAAAGCAACAGAAUAACAUGAUCUAUACACGGAUGCAUGACACUUUGCCAAGCCCAAUGUAAUGAGAAUAAAGUGUGAAUAAAAUAAAUGGCUUCAAAAUACAAAAAGCAAAGAUGAAAAAAUUACAGGGAGAAAUCCAUAAUAGUGAGAGAUUUGGCAUGCCUCCAUCAUAUAUUAAUACAUCAAGCACAAAAGAAAAUAGAUUUGAGAAAAUUAAUGGAUGUGAUUUAACAUACAUACAUAGUAUUGGGAGAUCAUUCUUCACUAGUCUUUCAUACUUCUGCACAUCUUGUGAGUGCAGCUUUUGUUCUGGAUUAUCUGUUCAAGUAUGUACAAUGAAUAGCCUUGGACUAUAGAGACAGUGCCUCCCUCUGGAGUGAACAGCAAGUUUGUUCACCGCCCAGUCUAAUAAAGACACUGCCUCCCUCUAGGUCAAAGUUUGAGGAGGUUUGUUUGCAGCUCAUUACAAAAAACUGGAACUUCCUAGUCUUGAGGUUUCUCAGCUGUGAAACGCACACACUGCAUCCACCUGGGCCUCUUCGUAUUAGCCUCAU